GGAGAGGUGGCAGAGUGGUCGAUCGCGGCGGUCUUGAAAACCGCUUUCCGACUUGUCGGAACGGGGGUUCGAAUCCCUCCCUCUCCG
This 87-nucleotide transfer RNA is filed under the name Bacteroidota bacterium. Its description in RNAcentral is "Bacteroidetes bacterium (activated sludge metagenome) tRNA-Ser". It matches the Rfam family "tRNA". Rfam says of the family: Transfer RNA (tRNA) molecules are approximately 80 nucleotides in length. RNAcentral also lists the same sequence under 1 other name. Lineage: Bacteria; Pseudomonadati; Bacteroidota. The record is from RNAcentral.